UGCAAUAUUCCAAUUUUCCACCAACAAUGAGAACAAGAAUACACUUCAGAUUCAAUUCUGAAGUUCGAAUAUUUAAAGGGUAGCGAUUUUAACACUCGUCUUUUAUGCAUUCGCAAGUAGAGUUUGGGAUGCUAAUUGAGAAGUGUGAAAAUCGCUGAAAUGAUAUACUUUGCAAGCAGUAUAAAGAAUAAAAAAUCAUAUAAACAUCAAACUGGUGCAUAAGAAUAAUGAUCAGAACAAAAAUGCAAUAGAGGUGUGUUUAGAAAUCAUAAUUACCAAGAAGAUAUCAUGCUGCAUAACCCAUCAGCAAACCCUCCAAAAAAGCCAGGUCCUCCCAUGAAACCAGGACCCCAAGGGCCCCCCGGGCCAGGGCCCCAGCCACCAGGUCCUCCAGGCCCAGGACCGCCCCAUCCGCCAGGUCCUCCAGGCCCGGGGCCUCCCCAUCCACCUCCUCCCGGACCGCCACCACCUGGGCCUCCCCAGCCACCUCCACCACCCGGUCCUCCUCCUCCACCAGGUCCUCCAGGCCCCAUAGCUAACUCUUUAUCUCACAAUUGCACCACGGCAGUCACCACCCGAUCAAGGUAACAAAGUAGGAGUGCAAAGAUGUAGCUAAUCCUGAUAAAGAAUAGAAUACCAAAGCUAACUAAACAAGUUUUUCAGCUGACUAUAUUUAAACAUA
This 682-nucleotide long non-coding RNA is filed under the name Malus domestica (apple). RNAcentral describes it as "long non-coding RNA (MDOM_LNC010976)". Lineage: Eukaryota; Viridiplantae; Streptophyta; Magnoliopsida; Rosales; Rosaceae. The record is from RNAcentral.